Molecule: long non-coding RNA, 244 nt
Filed under: Elaeis guineensis (African oil palm)
Lineage: Eukaryota; Viridiplantae; Streptophyta; Magnoliopsida; Arecales; Arecaceae
Description: long non-coding RNA (EGUI_LNC068975)
Source: RNAcentral
CCCUUAAUUAAAUUCAGAUCUAAAAUAUCACAUAUCAGAUCUAAAUAAAAUAAAAUUUUAAAUUUAAUAUACAUAUAUAAUAUAUCACAACGAACCUAAGCUUUGAUACCACUGUUAGAAAGUGUAGACAAUUUCAUGCAUGUAUUUUAAAAAUUUUUUGAAAUAAAACACAAUGGAAGAUAACUAGAUUAGUCUUAUUAAUCUAACAUGCAUAUGAUCAUAUCAAUAAAUCAACCUACUCUAG